This is an RNA transcript of Myotis myotis, 1224 nucleotides long. It is a transcript of the gene named transmembrane and coiled-coil domains 1, with no coding region annotated. The transcript has 8 exons. NCBI's taxonomy places the organism in Eukaryota, Metazoa, Chordata, Mammalia, Chiroptera, Vespertilionidae. The record is from RefSeq and is a predicted model, not a curated record.
UUCCGGCGCUGUGCCCCGGAAGCGGAAGUGUGGCUCCCGAUCUGUCAGCGGCUCGGUGCUGCUCGGUGGUCCUGAAGUCUAGGAAAGUCGUUUCUCGCUCAUUUUCCGUGGCUGUCGAGCGCUUCCCCCGGCGGGUGGGAGUGCAGAGCCGGAAGUGCAGGAUGAGCACCAUGUUCGCGGACACGCUGCUCAUCGUGUUCAUCUCCGUGUGCACGGCUCUUCUCGCCGAGGGUAUCACCUGGGUUCUGGUUUACAGGACGGACAAGUACAAGAGGCUGAAGGCGGAAGUGGAAAAACAGAGUAAAAAAUUGGAAAAGAAGAAGGAAACAAUAACAGAGUCAGCUGGCCGACAACAAAAAAAGAAAAUAGAGAGGCAAGAAGAGAAGCUGAAGAACAACAACAGAGACCUAUCCAUGGUUCGAAUGAAAUCCAUGUUUGCAAUUGGCUUUUGUUUUACUGCCCUGAUGGGGAUGUUCAAUUCCAUAUUUGAUGGCAGAGUGGUGGCAAAGCUCCCUUUCACGCCCCUUUCCUACAUCCAAGGACUGUCCCAUCGAAAUCUGCUGGGGGAUGACACCACUGACUGCUCCUUCAUCUUCCUGUAUAUUCUCUGCACCAUGUCCAUUCGGCAGCGGUGGAAGCGGUAGGCCCGCCAACAUCCCUGAGAGGUGUCAAUAACAGUCCAGGGUGGUGACGGGCAUUUCCUUCACUCCUUCAUUAAGAACAUCCAGAAGAUUCUCGGCCUUGCCCCUUCGCGAGCUGCCACCAAGCAGGCAGGCGGGUUUCUUGGCCCUCCACCUCCUUCUGGGAAGUUCUCCUAAAAUCAAGAAGAACCUGCAAUUCCUGCCACUUUUUAAGGUCUUCAAAUUAGAGGAACAACUAUUUUAUAGCAAGAGCCACCGGCAGCCUCGGCACUCGGGCCACUUUCUCGCCUUGUUUCUAGACUUUAUGGAUGUGAUUAGAAUGCGAACGGCACCCAGCAAACCAGACGGCAGCGUGGCCACUAGAUAAGUGGGGGGGCGUCUGUGAUGAGAAAGUCUUGUUUUGUUUACCCGAACAUUUUCGUGGGACCGACGCGAGACGGCUGUGUGCCCAGGAAGCCGGCUGUGUGAGCCUUUAGCAGUCAGAAAGGAAAGUAGCUUUCCAGUAGUUAGUUAUGACUCUUAAUCGUGUGGGUUUUUUAAGCCAAAUCUAUGACCUGUGAUCAAUAAAGAGGCCAAAAUUUUC